GGACGAACCUCUGGAGAGACCAAAUUGGCGCCGAAGGAGCAACACUCUCAGGCAAAAGGACAGAGGCAUCAAU
This is a regulatory RNA element of Firmicutes bacterium CAG:536, 73 nucleotides long. It matches the Rfam family "Glycine riboswitch aptamer". Rfam says of the family: This family represents the bacterial glycine riboswitch. Glycine riboswitches usually consist of two metabolite-binding aptamers domains with similar structures in tandem. Lineage: Bacteria; Bacillati; Bacillota. The record is from Rfam.